This 468-nucleotide ribosomal RNA is filed under the name uncultured bacterium. Its description in RNAcentral is "partial 16S ribosomal RNA". It matches the Rfam family "Bacterial small subunit ribosomal RNA", at positions 28 to 507 of the family's 1533-position model. The record is from RNAcentral.
GACGAACGCUGGCGGCGUGCUUAACACAUGCAAGUCGAACGGAAAGGCCCUGCUUUUGUGGGGUGCUCGAGUGGCGAACGGGUGAGUAACACGUGAGGAACCUGCCCUUGAAUUUGGGAUAACUUCAGGAAACAGGGGCUAAUACCGGAUAGGAGCUCCUGCUGCAUUGUGGGGGUUGGAAAGUUUCGGCGGUUGGGGAUGGACUCGCGGCUUAUCAGCUUGUCGGUGAGGUAGUGGCUUACCAAGGCUUUGACGGGUAGCCGGCCUGAGAGGGUGCCAGGCCACAUUGGGACUGCGAUACGGCCCAGACUCCUACGGGAAGCAGCAGUGGGGAAUAUGGCACAAUGGGCGGAAGCCUGACGCAGCAAAGCCGCGUGCGAGAUGACGGCCUUCGGGUUGUAAAACGCUUUCGCCUGUGACGCAGCGUGAGUGACGGUAAUGGGUAAAGAAGCCACGGCUAACUACGUG